AAAAAAAAAAAAAAAAAAAAACAAGUUAUUUUUGAUUUCCCAGAUAUUUUCGGCAAAAAUAUACGCACUUGUAGCGUCAUGACACUCACAGAACAGAACGAUAGAACGAAUGUAUAUUGG
This 120-nucleotide non-coding RNA is filed under the name uncultured eukaryote. The record is from RNAcentral.